UACGUAGGAGGCGAGCGUUGUCCGGAUUUACUGGGCGUAAAGAGCGUGUAGGUGGUCGCGUUAGUCUGCCGUGAAAGCGCCUGGCUUAACCAGGCGAGGUCGGUGGAUACUGCGCGACUUGAGGACGGUAGAGGGGGGUGGAAUUCCCGGUGUAGUGGUGAAAUGCGUAGAUAUCGGGAGGAACACCAGUGGCGAAGGCGGCCCCCUGGGCCGCUCCUGACGCUGAGACGCGAAGGCCAGGGUAGCGAACGGGAUUAGAUACCCCGGUAGUCCUGGCAGUAAACGAUGAGCACUAGGUGUGGGGGGUAUCGAGCCCCUCCGUGCCGACGUUAACACAUUAAGUGCUCCGCCUGGGGAGUACGGCCGCAAGGUUAAA
RNAcentral lists this ribosomal RNA (376 nucleotides) under uncultured bacterium. RNAcentral's name for it is "bacterial SSU rRNA". It matches the Rfam family "Bacterial small subunit ribosomal RNA", at positions 524 to 898 of the family's 1533-position model. The record is from RNAcentral.